UCCCAAACCUGAUCCUAAACCUGAUCCCAAACCUGAUCCCAAACCAGAUCCUAAACCAGAUCCCAAACAUUGCCCAGAGCUGGUGGGGAUGGAUAAGGGAUGGAUAAACCCCAGCAGAUCCCAAACCA
Molecule: long non-coding RNA, 128 nt
Filed under: Zonotrichia albicollis (white-throated sparrow)
Lineage: Eukaryota; Metazoa; Chordata; Aves; Passeriformes; Passerellidae
Description: lncRNA (ENSZALG00000001982.1)
Source: RNAcentral